AUCAAUGAUGAGACGAUCAGAGCCAAGAUCCAGAAGAACUGAACUCCCAUCCCCCGAGUCCUGCGGCAGGAAGCGCUCCUUCUCUCCAAGAACUCCUGGACCCUGCAAGCUGGUCCAGAACCAGAGUCCCAGUGAGGAGUCCAGCCAGUCCACCUCUCAGAGUUAAACUACAACAUUAUUAAAGAUCAUGUUUAAAGUUAAAAAAGGAUGCUUUCAGACUGAAUCCAGAAGUUUCUCAAGCUGCAGUCAAAGCAGAUCAUUUGAGGAAUAUAUAAAACAAUUAUAAAACAGUAAUAAGAAUUAGUCUGAAUACUUUCUUUGGACAUUUUAUUUAAACGACAUUUUAAACAAAUAUUUUAAAUGUUUCUGACUUUCUAUCUGAGUGCUUUUCUUAUGAAUUAACGACUUAAAUCUUGUUUUCUUUCUUGUGUAUUUCAUAAUCCUACAGGAUAUUAUAUAUUUUUUUCACAUAACUUUAAGACUAAAUAUUAUUUUCUCCCAUAAAUAUCCCACUUCUUGUACUUAUAUCCUGCUUGAUGAGUCAGCAGUAAAGCAGCCAGGCGUUAACGGUCAGCUGGCAUGUGUAUCUGUUCAUUGGCUCAUAUGUGUAGCAUGUUUAAU
Molecule: long non-coding RNA, 621 nt
Organism: Trematomus bernacchii (emerald rockcod)
Lineage: Eukaryota; Metazoa; Chordata; Actinopteri; Perciformes; Nototheniidae
Exons: 2
Source: RefSeq, a predicted model, not a curated record